RNAcentral lists this ribosomal RNA (497 nucleotides) under uncultured bacterium. RNAcentral describes it as "partial 16S ribosomal RNA". It matches the Rfam family "Bacterial small subunit ribosomal RNA", at positions 28 to 507 of the family's 1533-position model. The record is from RNAcentral.
GAUGAACGCUGGCGGCGUGCCUAAUACAUGCAAGUCGAGCGAACGGACGAGAAGCUUGCUUUUCUGAUGUUAGCGGCGGACGGGUGAGUAACACGUGGAUAACCUACCUAUAAGACUGGGAUAACUUCGGGAAACCGGAGCUAAUACCGGAUAAUAUUUUGAACCGCAUGGUUCAAAAGUGAAAGACGGUCUUGCUGUCACUUAUAGAUGGAUCCGCGCUGCAUUAGCUAGUUGGUAAGGUAACGGCUUACCAAGGCAACGAUGCAUAGCCGACCUGAGAGGGUGAUCGGCCACACUGGAACUGAGACACGGUCCAGACUCCUACGGGAGGCAGCAGUAGGGAAUCUUCCGAAAUGGGCGAAAGCCUGACGGAGCAACGCCGCGUGAGUGAUGAAGGUCUUCGGAUCGUAAAACUCUGUUAUUAGGGAAGAACAUAUGUGUAAGUAACUGUGCACAUCUUGACGGUACCUAAUCAGAAAGCCACGGCUAACUACGUG